This 1348-nucleotide long non-coding RNA is filed under the name Coturnix japonica (Japanese quail). Its description in RNAcentral is "lncRNA (ENSCJPG00005015607.1)". Lineage: Eukaryota; Metazoa; Chordata; Aves; Galliformes; Phasianidae. The record is from RNAcentral.
AUGAUUGGUGGUCAGCUUUUGAUUUUCAUUCUUCAUAGGUCAUGGCAACAAGGCCCAUUGUACAUGCACAGGCUAUUCUCAUCGAUCUUCUGUACCUCCUAUUUUACUAUGACAGGCUUUGAAAGUCUGAAGAUUGAAUGGACUUCAAUUAGCAGUUCAGGCCCGACUGGCAGCAGCUCGGGCGUCCUGGUGGUCAAGCUGGUGGCGGAUCGUGGGACCGUAGAGGGCUGCAGCGGUGCUGAUGAGCCUUCUUACGAAGGCUGGUGCUGGUGCUCAGCUGCAGCGCCUGCACCAAGGCCUCCUCGUCCAGACCAUGUUGACAAAGGAAGUUCACCGUGUCAUUUUUGAAGAUAAAAAGUGACUUAGUGUGCGUGAUGUUUGUAUAAUAAUACCAGUUAAUCACAAUUAAUAAGGAGCAGGUAUAAGAAUGGAUGAUAAAUGGAUUAAUACUGUUAGUAAUUAUGUUGUUCAUACUACACAACACACAACUGAAAAGAACCAGCUGUUGAAUGUACACAGUUGCUACUUCCUUUAAAACAGCGAGGUAAUGUCAGAAAGAAACCUGUAAAUGAGUUAAAGGAGCUAUUGGAGUGAGUCCAGGGGAGAACCAUGAUCAGGGGGCUGGAGCACCUCUCUUAUGAAGAAAGAUGGAGGGAGUUGGGCUUGUUCAGUUUGGAGAAAGCACUGGGAAAGUCUCAUUGCAGCCUUCCAGUACUUGUAGAGAGCUUAAAACAGGAGGGGGAAUUAACUUUUAGAAUAGUUCAGUAGUGGUACAACAAGGAGGAUGGUUUUAAACUAAAAGAGAGAGAAUUUAGGUUAGAUGUUGGAAGGAAACAAUUUACUCAUUGAGUGGUGAGGCGCUGACACAGCUGCCUGGAGAAGCUGGUCACAUUCAGUGUCUGGAUGACAACCGAGCUCAGUGGACGUCAAGUUGUGUUCUGCUGAGACUAUACAUUUUUUGAAUGGCUGUGUAAAGCUUGUUGGUGAGGUGCUGACAGCUCACUGUUGUGCUCCAGGUCUACUUUUGGAGCCUCCUGUGUUGCUGAGAUUGUUUUUGGAUGCUAGGUGAUCUGUUUCGUGUCAUGUCGCUUUCCCUCUCUCAUGACGUACCUUCCUCAUUCAUACACCUUGAGUGCUGUUGUAUGUACUAAACUUGCUUCUCGGUGAGCUUAAAUUCUGCUGCUGAUCAUGCUUGCCUUGUGACUGCAUAAGGACUGUCCUAUUUGAGUUUGUGGCUGAAUUGAUGCUGUCUCCCAGCAAGUGGUUUGAGGCUUCUCUCUUUCAGCUAGCUUUGAAUGCAAGAUGAAUUAAGCUCCUUGAAGAUAGGAACAUCUACCUCUUUUCAUGU